UACGGAGGAUCCAAGCGUUAUCCGGAUUUAUUGGGUUUAAAGGGUGCGUAGGCGGUUUGAUAAGUUAGAGGUGAAAGCCCGCAGCUCAACUGCGGAACUGCCUCUGAUACUGUCAGACUAGAGAAUAGUUGCUGUUGGCGGAAUGUGUGGUGUAGCGGUGAAAUGCUUAGAGAUCACACAGAACACCGAUUGCGAAGGCAGCUGACAAAGCUAUUUCUGACGCUGAGGCACGAAAGCGUGGGGAGCAAACAGG
Molecule: ribosomal RNA, 253 nt
Filed under: uncultured bacterium
Lineage: Bacteria
Description: partial 16S ribosomal RNA
Rfam family: Bacterial small subunit ribosomal RNA
Source: RNAcentral